Syngnathus acus (greater pipefish) is the source of this 6058-nucleotide long non-coding RNA. RefSeq lists it as uncharacterized. The record is from RefSeq and is a predicted model, not a curated record. The transcript has 7 exons. Lineage: Eukaryota; Metazoa; Chordata; Actinopteri; Syngnathiformes; Syngnathidae.
AGAACACAAAUGUCAGUUUUCACCUAGCGGGAGCGUCUUGUUUCCAGGCGUGGCGCCGAGAGGCUUGAUGAAGCCGCACUCUCUGCUCAGAUUCGGGCUAUUGAAGAACACGGAAGCCGGCGUCAUUCUGGGAGAAAGGAGACGAUCCGUUUGCGCUGGUUCCGCCGUUCUCUUUGCUGCUGACUGAGGACGACGAGCCGGGUUUGGACGUGGACGCCGCCCCGCUGGACAACUGCCGCGUUUUACUGUCUGAAGAGAGAAAGGCCAGGAGAGAGGCUGGAGAUCUGGAGCAAAUGGGAUGGAGACCUUUGCUACCUUUCCAGCAGAUGAGCGGUCCUUUGCACAAAGCACCCUGAGAGUUCUUCACCAGGUCCUCCAGACAAUUGGUGACAGUGGGCGGAGCUUCCUGCUUCACACCUGUUACUGGCCCUUGCUAGCGGUAUGUAUUAGCACUGCUCCAACUCUACCUUCCAUAGUGCAGCAGCCCUCUGGCACAGGAGUCUGCAAGUAGGGCAGCGGGGGACUGUUGCUAUCCGAGUCUUCUUCCUCCUCCAGCUCCUCCGCGUCAUUGGAUGAGUGGCUGUUGGUCAGCAGCUCCUGGGCGGGGAGCUCGCCGCUGUGGGGCUCCACUUUGGGUUUCACGUCAGCUAGAGGAUCAUCAUUAUCAUCAUCAUGGUAUCCCGUGAGAGUACGCAUGCACGCACGCCACUGACUGACCGUCCACGUUGGCAGGAUAAGGCUCGGGCUUCAGGUAGAGCUGCGUGAAGAUGGGUUGCGGAUCUCCGCUGCUGGAGCGCAGCGACGCCUCGAUGGAGUUGUGCAGGGCCUCUUCGAAGCGAGCAGACUUCAACUGCCCGGCGUAGGAAUUCCCCAUGAUCUGGUCGGAGGACAAAAUAGGCAAAAACCGGUGGGUGUGCUAACCACCUCCCUUCUCCAAAGGAGGUCCACUCUGGACAUCUGUCGAGUGUCUUGGGUGGCAUCCUCAACAUGUGUUCCCAAAGAGAAGGAUCAUGAAAAAAAAUCCGGCUGAAAUUUCAAACCAUGCCCCCCCCCCCCCCACCUUCUCAUUGUUUAUCACGGUGGUGCAGAAAUGUAGUAAAUCAAGCUACUUUUUGUGAUGCCUUCAUGGUCAGUGUAGGAAGGAGAAGUAGAAAGCGACUCACUCACGUGAUGAGUGUUUGCAGGCGUGAAGGGACUUGUUCACCUCAGCUCCACGCUGGGUCGCCGCCACUCGGUAAAGACAUUUCAGUCACGGCUCUGACACCUGAGGGAGGGAAGGAGGGAGGGAGCGAGCGAGCGAGAGGAGUGUGCCGCUGCGCAUUAGCUGACAUACAUGUCAUCUGAUGCAAAUACCAUGAGAACAAAUUAAGACUCCUAUUUUGCAAAACAUCAGAAAGACCUUGGAGAAGAUUCUUGAAUUUUUCAGAAAGUACAUCAAGUGUAAAUGUAACACAGAAUUUGUGAAAAUUGUAGGAUCAAAAAUGGUGGCGGAAGUGUGAUGGUCUAGGGCUGCUUUGUUACAUCAGGACAUGGCCGACUGGCUGUGAUUGAUGGAACCUUGAAUUCUGACCCCAAGCAUGACCGGAUCUCGAUGCGAUACCUGGCCCUGCCUCUAGGCUACUUCCACACUACGGCGAUGUUUGACUUUGCGUUGGCCGCACAUAAUCCACGCUGCUACUUUGACCCUUUGACGGAGUAUUGUUUAACCACUCAGCCUGUUACAUAACACAAAGCAAAGUCCCCCCCUACUCCUGUCCCCAUUGACCCCCCCGUCAUCACCAAAGCGGGGUCCAAGUCCUGAAAGUGUACACACGUUUUUGCACGGGAGCUGCUUUUGGUCAAUGAUUAGCCGCCUUUGAAACAGCCAAUCAAGUCAAUGUGUCAACCAGGAAGCUCCUCAAAGACGGCGGCCGGCUUUCUUCUUCUUGUGUCCUCACUUGAUCUCGUAUCCAAUCAAGUGGGGCAAGUUCAAGCUACACCUCCCUCCGCAAGCAAGGAACCAACCGUUGGGAUUGUUAUCUGACAAGCCACACGGAAAUGGCUCCACCAAAAGAGAGGACCAUCGAACCGAAAAACACCACCUAAAUCUUGCCUGAGGCAUUUCAAGACGUCCGGUUUUUCCAGUCAUGACACUAGGACCAACUGUACUUAGGACCACAGCAGGAAUGCGGAGUAAAUGGGCCCACUCGUUCAAGUCAGGACCAGCAUCCUUCACAGGCUUGACUUUUUCCACUUUCUUUUCUACUCAACAUUCCCCCCCCCCCCCCCCAUUGUAAACGCUUAAGGAGUAAAACUUCUUACGUUCAUAUGAAAUUGAAAAUAAGAACAACAUAUUAUGUACCUGUAUGUUUAACCAAGUGAAUAUUUUCUUUUAUAUUAAAUAAUUUGCAUUUGGGUAUUAGUAAUUCACCCAAAUCAAAGUUUGACCAAGAUUUUGAUCUGAUUAAUUUGAGAAAUCUGGCUCUCAACCCACCAAAAUAAUUGAUACUGCUUGAAUUGAAUUGUAAAAUAUAUAAUAAAUAAGGAUCAUUUAUUAGUCAUAAUCCAAUCAUUUGCAAAUCAAUUAAAAAUAUGUAUUAUUGUUGAUAAUAAUAAGUUGAGAUCAUCAUCACCACAAUAAGAGCAAUAAUGAAAACAAAUGUCAGGACACUUUAAACUUGUAUUCAAUUCUGUCAUCUUUAAAAUGCAGAUUCCUCAUCGUACAUUAAUCAAAUGCUGUAAAUGAGGAAAUUCAAUGUUGAAUUGAAAAGGUUUUUAAAUCCGAUGUGCAACCAAAAUGGUAAUCCUAAUUCAAUACGACCACUCUGCUUUCUAGCUUUUGUUUUUGCAUCCUCUUUUGCUCCUUCCUCAUAAUUACAUUAGAACAGGAGCAGGGAGGCUGCUGAAUUCAAUUCAAUUGCAGCCUGCAUUCAAAACACCCCCCCCUCCUGUUUUUUUUUUUUUUUUUUUAAUAAAACAGAGGGCAAAAUAAAAGGGGCGUACUUCCCCACGCCUUUAAACUUGCGCUCUGCCCGUCGCAACAUUGGCCAUGGAUAAGACGUCACACGCAUAAAAUAAAGCCAGAUAAGCAUCAGGCAGGAGCGCUCAUUGUCAUGCAGGAAAGACGCUGCUGUUAACAUCAGAAAAGCAGAACAGGGGGAGCAGAAAAAGGACUAACAUCUCACCAUGCCCUCUCGAUGAGGCGCUAAAAGCCUCUCUCGUUAGAGCUGUUCAAAUGACUUUACCUUGCAUGACCUUUUGAGGCUUUUGAAAUCCCAAAUAGUGCAGAAGACAAAAAAAAAGAAGCUCCUUGGAAGUGUUAGUCCAUUGGGAGUAAAUCCUUGUGGAAAGUCCAGGCAGGCAUGGGGAGCGAGCUGUGUGUCCUCUCAUGACACACACAGUCAAGUCAGUCAGGCUGCAAUGGGAAUCUUCCUCUCUCUCCCCCCCCCCCCCCUCUCGCUCUCUCCCUCUUGCAUGCAAACAAACACACAUAGACCCCUCCCCCUGCUCCCCCCUACUCCCCCGAGGUGCCCUCCUCUGAACUGCCUGUGCCAUUUGCCAAGGAGGAGGAGUAGAAUGCAUUCAUCUGAGCCCCUGUGGUGACAGAUGUUCUGCUAAGGCAGAGUAAACCUCAACUGGGAGUGGCAAAUAGACAACUGGAAGGAAGCAGCGUGCAAGUGACAAAGGUUUCCCAUGAAUCGACAUGAACGGUUUAAGAAGUGGAAGUGGAAGAAAGGUGGUCCAAAAGCGGCGUAGCAAAGGAUGAAGAGGUCUACAGGCCCUUCAUUCAGGUUUACUGUCACUUUGCUCUAUCAGCCAGGUUCUGUGUGUGUGUGGAAGUGGAGGGGGGGGUUCAAGCCCACCAACAAAAGCCUUGGAUCCACACGUCCAUUGUCCCAUUAAGACAAAAAGAUUCCUGCUGAUGCAUGACGGGAAUUAAGCACGUCACCGGGGGCAACCUGGUGCUUAUUAAUCAGCCCGGUUUGUAACGGGGGCGGAUCGCCGCUGACGCAGCAAUGGCGCAUGCCCGGCCGGGGUCAGGAAGAGGGACGUGAUGGAUCCGGCUGACCGCUCCGCUGAAGGAAGUCGGCAGGGAAGGGGGAGGAGGGCCCGUGCGUCCAGACACUGAGAGGCCUCUUUGUCCACGCGUCACUCACAAGGUGCCCCAAGGAGGAACAAGAAAGGAGCGGCGCCAUGAUGGAAGAUACCGGGAGCACACAACAGAAUUCUUUCUUUCCACCGUCACAGACAAUUUGGGUUUGGACUGCGUCAAAUGCAGCCACUUUAGAUUUUAAAAUGAGUAAAUGAAAACAAAUUUUCAAGCUACUUAGGAAAAAUUCACUUUGGUCUGUAUAUGACAAUACGUCUAUAACAAAAUCUAUGGUAGAAAUUCUUUUAUUCUAAAAUUUGCAGGCAAAUGCUUUUGAUUGGACAGUAAUCAUUUGCUUUGGCUUCCAUUUGCGGCACUCUCUGUUUUGAUUGGUCUUCCGGGAAAGCUUGCGCCCUGGUUCGAAGCAUAUCGACCCCAUCCGUCAAGUCAAUACACUGAUCCGCACAUAGAUCGAUACGGAAUUAUUUUCCAUGUUUUCCUUUGGCGGUGCUUGACCUGCAAGCGCUCAUUCGGGGGUGAUUGAAAGGAAAAGAUAGAGAAAGGGAGAGAGCCAGAAAGAGAUAAUGACCUCCCCCUGGCUCAGCGGAACGUUGAGUUCUCGCAGCGUGGGCCUGGGUCUUGGUCACCGUAGCCUUGGACGAUCUGUGAGUGCUGACGGGAAAAAAAAAAAAAAAGAAUCAAGUGCGCAGGCAGACGAGUCUCUCCCACGUAAACGCUGGCAGCAUCAACACGCGGCGGGGCGACCUUGUGUUCCAUUACGAGGGAAAGUGAAUGUCCUGUUUGGGAUUUCUGGUGACAAUGCUGCUGUUACCUUGACACAGCUAGGUGGACUCAUCUUCCAUAGCUGGGCCAAAAUGACACGUUUGGCCUAAUUCAUGCUGAGACAUCCUAUUGGUUGCUAGCAAAUCUGUUCGGAAAAGAGCAUUUUGGAAGGACCCUUCCAAAUAGCCCAUUUAAAUUUGCUCUUUGUGCAAAAACUAAAAGUGACAAGAGUCAUCAGGAAUUGAACAGCCCAUUCUUUUAUUGUAGCUUUGACACACAAAGUUCUCAAGUGACAAUCCAUCUAAUAAAGAAAAAUGUGGUGAGUCUCGUUAACUUGUUUAUCUUGGAGGGACAAAUACAAUCGUGGCAAGCCAAAACAAUGAGCAUCCAUCCACCAGACAGAUUUUCCCAUACGGCCGGCCGGCGCUAAAGCACAACAUGUACUUGCCGCCUGGCCGCCGCUUCUGGGGGCUGGCAUCCGAGCCAGCCAGCGAGCGAGCGAGGAGCGGAUAAACGGCGGACGGAACAGCCCGUGAGAACACACUGUUCUAUAACAGAUCAUUGCAAGAAGCCAAUCCACCGUUGGAUGCUUUCCAGGGCUCAAAGGCAAAAAGCGAGGAUAAGAUUACUAAGUGCUUUUCAUGAGCGCACGUCAGAAGCCCAGAGAAAUGCGAGGGCAUCCGCCACAGUCCUCGACAGUGAUUUCAUUAGCCCCGCCUGACAUUUUUGCACCAAAUACCAGUCACCCUGUGUGGCCCGGUACCAAAUGGCCCGGGACAGCGACUACUUUGGUUCAUUAACCCGGCAGGCAGGCCCCUAGGUUUGUGUUAUGUGUGAGAGGCCCGCUUGGCCUGGUUAUGCCAUCACACGCGCGACCCAUUAACUUUUGUUGCGGUAAAGCUCCCUGAUGAACGAGGCAGGAGGUCAUUGCGGGAAAAAGUGGGCUCACACACACACACGCAGCCCCCCCCCCCCUAGUUUUGACUUGCUGAAAUGAUUCAAUUGUUCUCAUUCACGUCUCUUGAUUCGACUUCCAAUUUUUGUCAAGCAUACAAUCAAAUAGUUGGAUCCUGAUGCAAAAAGACCUGUUCCAUCCUCACUUGAACAUCAUACAAGUCUCAUUGACUGCGAUUCCAAAAUGACAAACUGCUGCUGGCCAAAACGGAUGAAUUGGCUAAUACAUCAUUGCGGAGCUGGCUAAUGGAA